CAGCUGCGCAGUGCACAUAUCGAACUAUUCUUUCGCCUUUUACUAAAGAAUACCGUGUGUUCGUUGCAAAUAAGCAGCAUAUCAUUAUUUUUUGAGGGAAUUUUCUGAAAAGGAUUC
RNAcentral lists this small nuclear RNA (117 nucleotides) under Genlisea aurea. RNAcentral's name for it is "U5 spliceosomal RNA". It matches the Rfam family "U5 spliceosomal RNA". From Rfam's summary of the family: U5 RNA is a component of both types of known spliceosome. The precise function of this molecule is unknown, though it is known that the 5' loop is required for splice site selection and p220 binding, and that both the 3' stem-loop and the Sm site are important for Sm protein binding and cap methylation. The record is from Rfam by way of RNAcentral. Lineage: Eukaryota; Viridiplantae; Streptophyta; Magnoliopsida; Lamiales; Lentibulariaceae.